GAUGGGAGCUUGCUCCCUGAUGUUAGCGGCGGACGGGUGAGUAACACGUGGGUAACCUGCCUGUAAGACUGGGAUAACUCCGGGAAACCGGGGCUAAUACCGGAUGGUUGUUUGAACCGCAUGGUUCAGACAUAAAAGGUGGCUUCGGCUACCACUUACAGAUGGACCCGCGGCGCAUUAGCUAGUUGGUGAGGUAACGGCUCACCAAGGCGACGAUGCGUAGCCGACCUGAGAGGGUGAUCGGCCACACUGGGACUGAGACACGGCCCAGACUCCUACGGGAGGCAGCAGUAGGGAAUCUUCCGCAAUGGACGAAAGUCUGACGGAGCAACGCCGCGUGAGUGAUGAAGGUUUUCGGAUCGUAAAGCUCUGUUGUUAGGGAAGAACAAG
RNAcentral lists this ribosomal RNA (390 nucleotides) under Bacillus amyloliquefaciens. Its description in RNAcentral is "bacterial SSU rRNA". It matches the Rfam family "Bacterial small subunit ribosomal RNA", at positions 71 to 453 of the family's 1533-position model. The record is from RNAcentral. Lineage: Bacteria; Bacillati; Bacillota; Bacilli; Caryophanales; Bacillaceae.